GUAGGUGAACCUGCGGAAGGAUCAUUCAUAAUAAGUGUUUUAUGGCACUUUUUAAAUCCAUAUCCACCUUGUGUGCAAUGUCGGUCGAUCUUUCUUCUUGGAAGAUCAACCAAACAUCAACUUAUUUUUUUAACUCUUUGUCUGAAAAAUAUUAUGAAUAAACAAUUCAAAAUACAACUUUCAACAACGGAUCUCUUGGCUCUC
RNAcentral lists this unclassified non-coding RNA (204 nucleotides) under rhizosphere metagenome. RNAcentral describes it as "partial ribosomal RNA internal transcribed spacer region". The record is from RNAcentral.